This 512-nucleotide long non-coding RNA is filed under the name Fukomys damarensis (Damara mole-rat). Its description in RNAcentral is "lncRNA (ENSFDAG00000027586.1)". Lineage: Eukaryota; Metazoa; Chordata; Mammalia; Rodentia; Bathyergidae. The record is from RNAcentral.
CGCAGAACGAAGGAGCUGGCUCUGGAGUUAGCGCCUGGUGACACUGCCAUCCUCUGCAUCUUCGUUUCUUUCUCCACAAACUAGAAAUAAAACCGCUUGCUGUGAAAACACACUCAGCGCUUCUCCGUGCGUGCCAGUCACAGAGCUCUUGGUUUAACGUGUCAUGUUCGUGGCUUGGGGGACGCCUGGCCCCAGUGGCCCAUCUCAAUCCAGUCAUUUUAAGACCUGUGCGACAUGAUUCCGGGUCAGAAGGCCUCCAACGAAUAAUGCACAGGAAUAUAAAGGAUUGUGGAACAUGUAUGAGGAUGUAUCAUGGUCAUGGAAGUCUCAGCAUGUAUUUUGGUUUUUAAACAAGAAAAUGGAUGCCAGGUACUCAGAACAAAAUGGGCAAGAGAAGAUGGGGCCUUGAUAUGUAUCUAAAAGAUCUGCUAUUUUUCUUUCCUCUCUGCAUCUGGUGAGGUUCCAGUAUCUGGAAAUUGACCAGCAAAUAAUAAAAUACAUUUAUAUCCAAG